This 523-nucleotide ribosomal RNA is filed under the name uncultured bacterium. RNAcentral describes it as "bacterial SSU rRNA". It matches the Rfam family "Bacterial small subunit ribosomal RNA", at positions 126 to 643 of the family's 1533-position model. The record is from RNAcentral.
CUGCCUGGUAGUGGGGGAUAACGUUCGGAAACGGACGCUAAUACCGCAUACGUCCUACGGGAGAAAGCAGGGGACCUUCGGGCCUUGCGCUAUCAGAUGAGCCUAGGUCGGAUUAGCUAGUUGGUGGGGUAAUGGCUCACCAAGGCGACGAUCCGUAACUGGUCUGAGAGGGUGAUCAGUCACACUGGAACUGAGACACGGUCCAGACUCCUACGGGAGGCAGCAGUGGGGAAUAUUGGACAAUGGGCGAAAGCCUGAUCCAGCCAUGCCGCGUGUGUGAAGAAGGUCUUCGGAUUGUAAAGCACUUUAAGUUGGGAGGAAGGGUUGUAGAUUAAUACUCUGCAAUUUUGACGUUACCGACAGAAUAAGCACCGGCUAACUCUGUGCCAGCAGCCGCGGUAAUACAGAGGGUGCAAGCGUUAAUCGGAAUUACUGGGCGUAAAGCGCGCGUAUGUGGUUUGUUUAAGUUGGAUGUGAAAUCCCCGGGCUCAACCUGGGAACUGCAUUCAAAACUGACUGACUA